This 179-nucleotide small nucleolar RNA is filed under the name Mus musculus (house mouse). RNAcentral describes it as "Small nucleolar RNA SNORA17". It matches the Rfam family "Small nucleolar RNA SNORA17". From Rfam's summary of the family: snoRNA ACA 17 belongs to the H/ACA family of snoRNAs and is predicted to guide pseudouridylation of the 28S rRNA at positions U4659 and U4598. It shares the same host gene together with ACA43. NB This family has a high threshold value to exclude a large number of closely related sequences that do not appear to have conserved H and ACA boxes, and may be pseudogenes. Lineage: Eukaryota; Metazoa; Chordata; Mammalia; Rodentia; Muridae. The record is from Rfam by way of RNAcentral.
CCUGGAUCCAGAGGGACAGGCACAAGUCAUAGCCAAUAAUAAAAUAAUAGUUUCUGGUGUGUCACUUGUGUGUCAGCAGGUGGCAGAGAGGAAAGAGGCUAGGUCUAUACUAGGUCUACACUAGGUCUGCACUCAGUGUUCUGAGCUUUGAACAUCUGAAUGAUUAGUAGCCUAACAUU